GAUGCAAGCUUCUUGAUCAAAGUAUCACGAGUUUGUUAUAUAAUCGCAAACAAAUUCUUUAAUGAGAGAGUGCUUUUAUGUAUUUUUAAUUUGAAAUAUUUGGUAUAACUCCAAUUACUCAGGUAUGAUCCAAUUCAAGGACAUUGCCAGAUAGGGAGUUUGACUGGGGCGGUAUCUCUCAAAUAAUAACGGAGGUUUCCCAAGGCCAGCUCAGUGCGGACAGAAACCACACAUAGAGCAAAAGGGCAAAUGCUGACUUGAUCUCGGUGUUCAGUACACACAGGGACAGCAAAAGCUCGGCCUAUCGAUCCUUUUGGUUUAAAGAGUUUUUAACAAGAGGUGUCAGAAAAGUUACAAUAGGCAUAACUGGCUUGUGGCGGCCAAGCGUUCAUAGCGACGUCGCUUUUUGAUCCUUCGAUGUCGGCUCUUCCUAUCAUUGUGAAGCAAAAUUCACCAAGCGUUGGAUUGUUCACCCAUGCAAGGGAACGUGAGCUGGGUUUAGACCGUCGUGAGACAGGUUAGUUUUACCCUUCUAAUGACAAAACGUUGUUGCGACAGCAUUCCUGCGUAGUACGAGAGGAACCGCAGGUACGGACCAAUGGCACAAUAUUUGUUCCAGCGAACAGUGGUAUGACGCUACGUCCGUUGGAUUAUGCCUGAACGCCUCUAAGGUCGUAUCCGUGCUGAACUGCAAUGAUAAAUAAGGGGCAAAUUGCAUUGUAUGGCUUCUAAACCAUUAAAAGUUUAUUUUAUAAACGACAAUGGAUCUGAUGCCAAUGUUAUUUGUAACAUAGUAAAUUGGGAGGAUCUUCGAUCACCUGAUGCCGCGCUAGUUACUUAUUAAAACAUAAUACAAUGACAAAGCCUAGAAUCAAUUGUAAACGACUUUUGUAACAGGCAAGGUGUUGUAAGUGGUUGAGCAGCUGCCAUACUGCGAUCCACUGAAGCUUAUCCUUUGCUUGAUGAUUCGA
This 971-nucleotide non-coding RNA is filed under the name Drosophila willistoni. Its description in RNAcentral is "Eukaryotic large subunit ribosomal RNA". It matches the Rfam family "Eukaryotic large subunit ribosomal RNA", at positions 2550 to 3401 of the family's 3401-position model. The record is from Rfam by way of RNAcentral. Lineage: Eukaryota; Metazoa; Arthropoda; Insecta; Diptera; Drosophilidae.